GCCAGUGUGGCAUAGUGGCUUGAGUGUUGGACUAGGGCUCUGGAAACCAGGGUUCGAAUCCCAGAUUGUCC
Non-coding RNA from Phrynosoma platyrhinos (Desert horned lizard), 71 nucleotides. NCBI's taxonomy places the organism in Eukaryota, Metazoa, Chordata, Lepidosauria, Squamata, Phrynosomatidae. The record is from the annotation of a GenBank genome assembly.